CUCAGCUAAGGUCCUCAUCUCAGCACUACUAACUGAGCAACCAUGGGCAAAACUCACCGGGCGUCGCACUCUGCCAAAUCCGUCGACACGCCGAAAAGUGCCACUUCAUCCUCCAUGCGGCAAUAUCUACUAUCCCGCGCCGACACGGCAUCUCAGGCCUCUAACGACUCAGAGGUGUCUGGCGCCUCCCGCCCAGCAUCACCACGUGGUGACCGCCAGACAUCGCCAACCCAGACACCCCUGGACCCCCAACCUGAUUGGGUGCAACUUAUCCGGG
Pelobates cultripes (western spadefoot toad) is the source of this 277-nucleotide non-coding RNA. The record is from the annotation of a GenBank genome assembly. Lineage: Eukaryota; Metazoa; Chordata; Amphibia; Anura; Pelobatidae.